CCUUUUCUUGCUUAUUCCGCCUAUAUACCGCCGUCUCCAGCCUACCCUGUAAAGGAUCAACAGUAAGCAAAAUUGGCACAGCCCUGAACGACAGGUCGAGGUGUAGCGUAUGAAAAGGGAAGAGAUGGGCUACAUUCAGUGAAACACUGAAUACGGAAAAUUGAUUGAAACAUUGAUUUGAAGGAGGAUUUAGUAGUAAGCGGGGAAUAGAGAGCCCCACUGAAGCCGGCCCUGAAGCGUGUACACACCGCCCGUCACUCUCCCCGAGCAGAAAGACUCUAUCCCUAAAAAACUAGAAAUGAAAAGGGGAGGUAAGUCGUAACAUGGUAAGUGUACCGGAAGGUGCACUUGGAAAAAC
RNAcentral lists this ribosomal RNA (358 nucleotides) under Cetoscarus bicolor (bicolor parrotfish). RNAcentral describes it as "partial 12S ribosomal RNA". It matches the Rfam family "Bacterial small subunit ribosomal RNA", at positions 966 to 1527 of the family's 1533-position model. The record is from RNAcentral. Lineage: Eukaryota; Metazoa; Chordata; Actinopteri; Labriformes; Labridae.